ACACGUGUCCCUGUCUGAUUCUAUUGUUGAGGUGAUGUGGGUUCUCUUUAGAUAAAUCUUGCUUCCAGCCACUGUUUCAGUUCGAGGACAUGCAGGAAAUCAUUCAGAACUUUGUGCGGGUUCAUGUGGAUGCCCCUGGAAUGGAAGAGGGAGCCCCUGUGUUCCCUUUGGGAUAUCAGUACCCAUCUCUGGACCAGCUUGCAGACAUGAUCCCUUGCGUCCUGCAGUACCUAAAUUUCUCUACAAUAAUUGGAGUUGGUGUUGGAGCUGGAGCCUACAUCCUGGCGAGAUAUGCUCUUAACCACCCGGACACUGUUGAAGGUCUUGUCCUCAUCAACAUUGAUCCCAAUGCCAAGGGUUGGAUGGAUUGGGCAGCCCACAAGGUUUGGAGGGGCCUGUGUGCUGAGACCUAGGGUUGGGGAUCCCCUCGUAUGGAUCCAGUUAGGCUCUGGUAGAUAGCCUAACUGGAUGGACUCUGAACUUCAAGGUGGGAAUAAAGGGGCAGGAAAGUGAAGCUGUCACUUUGCCUGAGUCUCUUAUAAUAUCCUGAACUUUCUUUUUUUCUUUUUUCUUUUUUUUUUUUUUUUGA
RNAcentral lists this small RNA (589 nucleotides) under Pan troglodytes (chimpanzee). Its description in RNAcentral is "retained intron". Lineage: Eukaryota; Metazoa; Chordata; Mammalia; Primates; Hominidae. The record is from RNAcentral.